UCUCUCUCUCUCUCCUCCCUUGAUUUCUUAUUAAUCUGUCCUUUUAUGAGUUUAAAAGCUAUUUGAUUCAAAGCAAAUUUCCAUUAACGAUUUAACAUGUUUUUUCUUCUUAUAUGAAUCUUAAUAAUGGGUUCUGUUUCUUCUUAUGCAGGAUUUAAAAGGAAACUAUGAUUUACUAAACACACAAAUCUGAUAGAAUUUUUCUGAAAAGGAUCAGGAACAUCCGGAAGUAUAAGAGACAAAGUCUACUAAUAUUUUGGAAAGUAGAAGUCUUAAGGAAAAGCCUGGAGAAUUCAUGCCACCAAUAAAGAUUGAUGAUUGAAAUAUACAUGAAGAGAAGAGAAGAAAAGGAAGAAGAUCACAACUCAAGAAAAUUCAUAGUCAAGUCUGUUUAUUUGUUUGUCUUUUUCUUUAUUACUGUUGUUAGAAGUUUGGAUCUAUAUUUCUUUCAUCGUCAUAUUGUAUUUUAAUGUAAAGAGUUAAUAAGAAAAUAUUUUGAUUAAUUUAUU
Molecule: long non-coding RNA, 509 nt
Organism: Raphanus sativus (radish)
Lineage: Eukaryota; Viridiplantae; Streptophyta; Magnoliopsida; Brassicales; Brassicaceae
Exons: 2
Source: RefSeq, a predicted model, not a curated record